GCUCAGUCCUCUUCGGAAAGGCAGACACUGAAAGGCUUAACACAGUUUUAGAGAGGUGCUGCAGAAGCAGACUGCGUUCACCGCUAAUUAACGACCCAUCAGCAGCAGCCAAUCAGAGCUCUCCGUGCGCGAGGUGAAGAGUUCAGUGGCAGAGUGGGUACAGGUUCACCUGGGAGAGAUGCGGACGGAGACAUUUAAAAAACUUUAGACUUUGGACGGGAAAUGUGAGGCGAGCCGUGCGGCAUACACCACUGCUCAGGUGCUGCAGAAGCAGACCUGGGGCCUCAGAGCUCUCUGUGCAAGGUGAAGAGUUUGCUGGCAGAGAGACUGCAUGAAGCAUGGAGAGAUUUAAAAAACGUUUGGACACCUUAAGGAAACACCACAAGAAAUGUGAGGCGAGCCAUGAGGCAUACACCACUGCUCAGAUGGACAUGUCUUUUGAGGUGGACAUGAGUACCCUCAGUGGAUCUAUCGUUGACCAGCCCGCCUCAACACCUAACCAUGAUGGGGCCCUUGAAGAAGAGUUUUGUCAGUCUGUGUUGGCUGCACUGCACUCAUCAACCACAGAUCAUGAGCAGGCUGGAACUUCAGAGUC
Long non-coding RNA from Neoarius graeffei (lesser salmon catfish), 595 nucleotides. RefSeq lists it as uncharacterized. The transcript has 3 exons. The record is from RefSeq and is a predicted model, not a curated record. Lineage: Eukaryota; Metazoa; Chordata; Actinopteri; Siluriformes; Ariidae.